Molecule: ribosomal RNA, 884 nt
Filed under: uncultured marine bacterium
Lineage: Bacteria
Description: bacterial SSU rRNA
Rfam family: Bacterial small subunit ribosomal RNA
Source: RNAcentral
GCUCAGGAUGAACGCUAGCGGCAGGCCUAAUACAUGCAAGUCGAGGGGCAGCAGUACUUUUCGGAGUAGCUGGCGACCGGCGCACGGGUGCGUAACGCGUAUGCAAUCUACCCACAGCAGAGGGAUAGCCCGUGGAAACAUGGAUUAAUACCUCAUAACACAGNGAGCCCACCUGGGCAUAUUGUUAAAGCUACGGCGGCAGUGGAUGAGCAUGCGUCCCAUUAGUUAGUUGGUAAGGUAACGGCUUACCAAGACGAUGAUGGGUAGGGGUUCUGAGAGGAUGAUCCCCCACACUGGUACUGAGAUACGGACCAGACUCCUACGGGAGGCAGCAGUAGGGAAUAUUGGUCAAUGGACGGAAGUCUGAACCAGCCAUGCCGCGUGCAGGAAGACGGCCUUCUGGGUUGUAAACUGCUUUUCUCAGGGAAGAAAAAGGCCUUGCGAGGCAAAUUGCCGGUACCUGAGGAAUAAGCACCGGCUAACUCCGUGCCAGCAGCCGCGGUAAUACGGAGGGUGCGAGCGUUGUCCGGAUUUAUUGGGUUUAAAGGGUGCGUAGGCGGCCUAUUAAGUCAGUGGUGAAAGGUAUCAGCUUAACUGAUGACGUGCCAUUGAAACUGAUAGGCUUGAGUACAGACGAGGUAGGCGGAAUUUAUGGUGUAGCGGUGAAAUGCAUAGAUACCAUAAAGAACACCGAUAGCGAAGGCAGCUUACUAGACUGAGACUGACGCUGAGGCACGAAAGCGUGGGGAGCGAACAGGAUUAGAUACCCUGGUAGUCCACGCUGUAAACGAUGAUUACUGGAUGUGUGCGAUAGACAGCACGCGUCUGAGCGAAAGCGUUAAGUAAUCCACCUGGGGAGUACGAUCGCAAGAUUGAAACUCAAA